This 406-nucleotide ribosomal RNA is filed under the name uncultured bacterium. RNAcentral describes it as "partial 16S ribosomal RNA". It matches the Rfam family "Bacterial small subunit ribosomal RNA", at positions 29 to 526 of the family's 1533-position model. The record is from RNAcentral.
AUUGAACGCUGGCGGCAGGCCUAACACAUGCAAGUCGAACGAGUGGCGGACGGGUGAGUAAUGUCUGGGAAACUGCCUGAUGGAGGGGGAUAACUACUGGAAACGGUAGCUAAUACCGCAUACCAUCAGAUGUGCCCAGAUGGGCUUAGCUUGUUGGUGGGGUAACGGCUCACCAAGGCGACGAUCCCUAGCUGGUCUGAGAGGAUGACCAGCCAAACCGGGACUGAGACACGGUCCCGACCCCUAAGGGAGGGAGACGUGGGGAAGAGUGCACAAAGGGCGCCAGCCCGAUGCAGCCAAUCCGGGUGGUUUAAAGAGGCCCUCGGGUUGUAAAGUACUUUUCGCGGGGAGGCGUUACCCGCAGAAGAAGCACCGGCUAACUCCGUGCCAGCCGCCGCGGUAAUAC